GUGAGGAAUAUUGCGCAAUGGAGGCAACUCUGACGCAGCCAUGCCGCGUGCAGGAAGAAGGCGCUACGCGUUGUAAACUGCUUUUAACCGGGAAGAAACCCCAGGACGUGUCCUGGGUUGACGGUACCGGAGGAAUAAGCACCGGCUAACUUCGUGCCAGCAGCCGCGGUAAUACGAAGGGUGCAAGCGUUAUCCGGAUUCAUUGGGUUUAAAGGGUGCGUAGGCGGAGCGUUAAGUCAGUGGUGAAAUCCUGCAGCUUAACUGUAGACUUGCCAUAGAUACUGGCGCUCUUGAGUGCGCUUGAAGUGGGCGGAAUGUGCCGUGUAGCGGUGAAAUACUUAGAUAUGGCACAGAACACCAAUUGCGAAGGCAGCUCACUAAGGCGAUACUGACGCUGAGGCACGAAAGCGUGGGGAUCGAACAGGAUUAGAUACCCGAGUAGUCC
This 445-nucleotide ribosomal RNA is filed under the name uncultured bacterium. Its description in RNAcentral is "partial 16S ribosomal RNA". It matches the Rfam family "Bacterial small subunit ribosomal RNA", at positions 354 to 796 of the family's 1533-position model. The record is from RNAcentral.